RNAcentral lists this ribosomal RNA (230 nucleotides) under uncultured bacterium. RNAcentral describes it as "partial 16S ribosomal RNA". It matches the Rfam family "Bacterial small subunit ribosomal RNA", at positions 118 to 350 of the family's 1533-position model. The record is from RNAcentral.
UGAGCAACCUGCCCUUAGCUCUGGGAUAACCCCGGGAAACCGGGGCUAAUACCGGAUACGAGUCCGAGCGGCAUCACGCGGACUGGAAAGUUUUGCGGCUAAGGAUGGGCUCGCGGCCUAUCAGCUUGUUGGUGGGGUAAUGGCCUACCAAGGCGACGACGGGUAGCCGGCCUGAGAGGGUGACCGGCCACACUGGGACUGAGACACGGCCCAGACUCCUACGGGAGGCA